RNAcentral lists this small RNA (48 nucleotides) under Caenorhabditis elegans. RNAcentral describes it as "Unclassified non-coding RNA W09G10.7". Lineage: Eukaryota; Metazoa; Nematoda; Chromadorea; Rhabditida; Rhabditidae. The record is from RNAcentral.
GAGACGCAGACAACGAGACGAGCUGCCUCUCUGCGUCUCCCUCUCUCU